This is a non-coding RNA of Gossypium hirsutum (cotton), 106 nucleotides long. Lineage: Eukaryota; Viridiplantae; Streptophyta; Magnoliopsida; Malvales; Malvaceae. The record is from Rfam.
AUCCCUUGGUGGGGGCACUUUCUCGUGAACAAUUUAAAGCAUUCCCAUGCCUCAUAUAGGUUUUCACCCUCAAUCUGCUUGAAGUUGGAAAUAUCAUGUCUAAACU